AGGCUGCAGUGGGGAAUUUUGGACAAUGGGGGCAACCCUGAUCCAGCCAUUCCGCGUGAGUGAAGAAGGCCUUCGGGUUGUAAAGCUCUUUCAGCUGGAAAGAAACGGUGAGCUCUAACAUAGCUUGCUAAUGACGGUACCAGCAGAAGAAGCACCGGCUAACUACGUGCCAGCAGCCGCGGUAAUACGUAGGGUGCGAGCGUUAAUCGGAAUUACUGGGCGUAAAGCGUGCGCAGGCGGUUAUGUAAGACAGGUGUGAAAUCCCCGGGCUUAACCUGGGAACUGCGCUUGUGACUGCAUAACUCGAGUGUGGCAGAGGGGGGUGGAAUUCCACGUGUAGCAGUGAAAUGCGUAGAGAUGUGGAGGAACACCGAUGGCGAAGGCAGCCCCCUGGGAUAACACUGACGCUCAUGUACGAAAGCGUGGGUAGCAAACAGGAUUAGAUACCCCUGUAGUC
RNAcentral lists this ribosomal RNA (457 nucleotides) under uncultured beta proteobacterium. Its description in RNAcentral is "bacterial SSU rRNA". It matches the Rfam family "Bacterial small subunit ribosomal RNA", at positions 346 to 795 of the family's 1533-position model. Lineage: Bacteria; Pseudomonadati; Pseudomonadota; Betaproteobacteria. The record is from RNAcentral.